This is a long non-coding RNA of Chanos chanos (milkfish), 447 nucleotides long. RefSeq lists it as uncharacterized. The transcript has 3 exons. Lineage: Eukaryota; Metazoa; Chordata; Actinopteri; Gonorynchiformes; Chanidae. The record is from RefSeq and is a predicted model, not a curated record.
GUUUCAUGCUCUCCUGUCUUUCCUGAGCUCUGUGUCUGGUCUGAAGAAGGUGGAUCUGAAUGUGAGCAGUCUGACUGAGAGCUGGGCUUCCAGGAUCCUCUCCCUCAUCCAGACCUGCCCCAGUCUACAGGGAGUCAGUUUUAAAGCUGGUGAUGACGGUUUAUUACUGGAAGAGGGAAUCAGGUUACUGCAGCACUCUCAGAUACUCCCAGACUGCACUCUGACUGUUGAGGGGAGGAGAUGCACUAAACCCACUGACCAGUGCACUGAGGACAAGGACAGACAACUCACCUGCAACCAGACAGUGAAACUUCAGCUCUGUGGAGAGUCCUUCACAAUCUUAGAUUAGUAAGAGACUUGAAUUUUAGAAUGACAUUACAUACAAAUGGGCAUUAACCACCAGUCUAAUACAAUGUAUGACAGAGAGUCUACAUUGUUAUAGAGAUU